AUACGGAGGAUCCAAGCGUUAUCCGGAAUCAUUGGGUUUAAAGGGUCCGUAGGCGGGUUUGUAAGUCAGUGGUGAAAGUUUUCGGCUCAACCGGAAAAUUGCCAUUGAUACUGCAAGUCUUGAAUCAUUAUGAAGUGGUUAGAAUGUGUAGUGUAGCGGUGAAAUGCAUAGAUAUUACACAGAAUACCGAUUGCGAAGGCAGAUCACUAAUAAUGUAUUGAUGCUAAGGGACGAAAGCGUGGGUAGCGAACAGGAUUAGAAACCCUAGUAGUCC
This 274-nucleotide ribosomal RNA is filed under the name uncultured bacterium. RNAcentral describes it as "partial 16S ribosomal RNA". It matches the Rfam family "Bacterial small subunit ribosomal RNA", at positions 523 to 796 of the family's 1533-position model. The record is from RNAcentral.